AGGUCCCUAUCACACAGCUAAAGAUGGCCCAAACUGUACAGGUCCCUAUCACACAGCUAUAGAUGGCCCAAACUGUACAGGUCCCUAUCACACAGCUAUAGAUGGCCCAAACUGUACAUGUCCCUAUCACACAGCUAAAGAUGGCCCAAACUGUACAGGUCCCUAUCACUCAGCUAUAGAUGGCCCAAACUGUACAUGUCCCUAUCACACAGCUAUAGAUGGCCCAAACUGUACAUGUCCCUAUCACACAGCUAAAGAUGGCCCAAACUGUACAUGUCCCUAUCACACAGCUAUAGAUGGCCCAAACUGUACAUGUCCCUAUCACACAGCUAUAGAUGGCCCAAACUGUACAUGUCCCUAUCACACAGCUAUAGAUGGCCCAAACUGUACAUGUCCCUAUCACACAGCUAAAGAUGGCCCAAACUGUACAGGUCCCUAUCACACAGCUAUAGAUGGCCCAAACUGUACAUGUCCCUAUCACACAGCUAUAGAUGGCCCAAACUGUACAUGUCCCUAUCACACAGCUAUAGAUGGCCCAAACUGUACAUGUCCCUAUCAC
Long non-coding RNA from Oncorhynchus keta (chum salmon), 559 nucleotides. RefSeq lists it as uncharacterized. The transcript has 3 exons. The record is from RefSeq and is a predicted model, not a curated record. NCBI's taxonomy places the organism in Eukaryota, Metazoa, Chordata, Actinopteri, Salmoniformes, Salmonidae.